CAGUCGCCACGGUAAUACGAAGGGGGCUAGCGUUGCUCGGAAUGAUUGGGCGUAAAGGGCGCGUAGGCGGCGGCCAAAGUCAGGCGUGAAAUUCCCGGGCUCAACCUGGGGGCUGCGUUUGAUACUUGGUUGCUUGAGUGGGGAAGAGGGUCGUGGAAUUCCCAGUGUAGAGGUGAAAUUCGUAGAUAUUGGGAAGAACACCGGUGGCGAAGGCGGCGACCUGGUCCUUGACUGACGCUGAGGCGCGAAAGCGUGGGGAGCAAACAGGAUUAGAUACCCCGGUAGUCCCUGUCUUUUAUAC
This 301-nucleotide ribosomal RNA is filed under the name uncultured bacterium. RNAcentral describes it as "partial 16S ribosomal RNA". It matches the Rfam family "Bacterial small subunit ribosomal RNA", at positions 509 to 809 of the family's 1533-position model. The record is from RNAcentral.